GACGAAUGCUGGCUGCGUGCUUAACACAUGCAAGUCGAACGGUGAAGGGGAGCUUGCUCCCCGGAUCAGUGGCGAACGGGUGAGUAACACGUGGGCAACCUGCCCCUCACUCUGGGAUAACUCCGGGAAACCGGGGCUAAUACCGGAUACGACCGGGAGCGACAUCGCUCCUGGUGGAAAGAAUUUCGGUGAGGGAUGGGCCCGCGGCCUAUCAGCUAGUUGGUGGGGUAACGGCCCACCAAGGCGACGACGGGUAGCCGGCCUGAGAGGGCGACCGGCCACACUGGGACUGAGACACGGCCCAGACUCCUACGGGAGGCAGCAGUGGGGAAUAUUGCGCAAUGGGCGAAAGACUGAGGCAGCGACGCAGCGUGAGGGACGAAGGCCUUCGGGUUGCAAACCUCUUUCAGCGGGGACGAAGCGAAAGUGACGGUACCCGCAGAAGAAGCACCGGCUAACUACGUGCCAGCCGCCGCAGUAA
RNAcentral lists this ribosomal RNA (481 nucleotides) under uncultured bacterium. Its description in RNAcentral is "partial 16S ribosomal RNA". It matches the Rfam family "Bacterial small subunit ribosomal RNA", at positions 28 to 523 of the family's 1533-position model. The record is from RNAcentral.